GAUGAACGCUGGCGGCGUGCUUAACACAUGCAAGUCGAACGGAAAGGCCCUGCUUGCCGGGUAUUCGAGUGGCGAACGGGUGAGUAACACGUGGGUGAUCUGCCCUGCACUUCGGGAUAAGCCUGGGAAACUGGGUCUAAUACCGGAUAGGAGCCAUUUUUAGUGUGAUGGUUGGAAAGUUUUUUCGGUGUAGGAUGAGCUCGCGGCCUAUCAGCUUGUUGGUGGGUAAUGGCCUACCAAGGCGGCGACGGGUAGCCGGCCUGAGAGGGUGGACGGCCACAUUGGGACUGAGAUACGGCCCAGACUCCUACGGGAGGCAGCAGGGGGGAAUAUUGCACAAUGGGCGCAAGCCUGAUGCAGCGACGCCGCGUGGGGGAUGACGGCCUUCGGGUUGUAAACGCCUUUCGCUAGGGACGAAGCUUUUUGUGACGGUACCUAGAUAAGAAGCACCGGCUAACUACGUG
RNAcentral lists this ribosomal RNA (464 nucleotides) under uncultured bacterium. RNAcentral describes it as "partial 16S ribosomal RNA". It matches the Rfam family "Bacterial small subunit ribosomal RNA", at positions 28 to 507 of the family's 1533-position model. The record is from RNAcentral.